This 149-nucleotide unclassified non-coding RNA is filed under the name uncultured fungus. RNAcentral's name for it is "sequence contains ITS1". The record is from RNAcentral. Lineage: Eukaryota; Fungi.
UUUAAUUCUCAUGUAUGUUCAGACGCAAACGCUUAACCGCAUAAAUGCGACGCCGGAGCGCCGAAGCACGGGUCGCUUCCACUGGUUUGAGCGUCGAGGGCGCGUGGCGCCGUUCGAUAAUGAUCCCUCCGCAGGUUCACCUACGGAGA